GACAGAGGCCACAAGCGUUAGGCGGAAUUACUGGGCGUAAAGGGCGCGUAGGCGGCACUGUUAGUCAGGCGUGAAAGUCCUGGGCUCAACCUGGGAACUGCGCUUGAUACGGCAGAGCUAGAGGAUGGAAGAGGGUCGCGGAAUUCCCAGUGUAGAGGUGAAAUUCGUAGAUAUUGGGAAGAACACCGGUGGCGAAGGCGGCGACCUGGUCCAUUACUGACGCUGAGGCGCGACAGCGUGGGGAGCAAACAGG
RNAcentral lists this ribosomal RNA (253 nucleotides) under uncultured bacterium. RNAcentral's name for it is "partial 16S ribosomal RNA". It matches the Rfam family "Bacterial small subunit ribosomal RNA", at positions 524 to 776 of the family's 1533-position model. The record is from RNAcentral.